RNAcentral lists this ribosomal RNA (475 nucleotides) under uncultured bacterium. Its description in RNAcentral is "bacterial SSU rRNA". It matches the Rfam family "Bacterial small subunit ribosomal RNA", at positions 20 to 518 of the family's 1533-position model. The record is from RNAcentral.
UGGCUCAGGACGAACGCUGGCGGCGUGCCUAACACAUGCAAGUCAAGGGGUAGCAAUACCACUGGCGCACGGGUGAGUAACGCGUAGGUUAUCUGCCCUUAACCGGAACAUAACGUCGGGAAACCGGCACUAAUAUUCCAUGAGGUACUUCGGUAUCAAAGCUUCGGCGGUUAAGGAUGAGCCUGCGUCUGAUUAGCUAGUUGGUGAGGUAAUGGCUUACCAAGGCAACGAUCAGUAGCUGGUCUGAGAGGACGAUCAGCCACACUGGAACUGAGACACGGUCCAGACUCCUACGGGAGGCAGCAGUGAGGAAUUUUGGUCAAUGGGGGAAACCCUGAACCAGCGAACCGCCGCGUGUGGGAUGAGGGGGCUUUGCCCUGUAAACUACUAUCGGGAGGGAAGAAAAGUUUCGAGCGAUCGGAACCGGGACUGUACCUCCAAAUGAAGGACCGGCUAACUACGUGCCAGCCGCUGC